CCGCGUCUAGGUUAAUAUCUCUCGGGGUUACAGCCCUUGCUGAAUUAUUCACCCUUGUCUUUUGCGUACUUCUUGUUUCCUUGGUGGGUUCGCCCACCACUAGGACAAACAUAAACCUUUUGUAAUUGCAAUCAGCGUCAGUAACAAAUUAAUAAUUACAACUUUCAACAACGGAUCUCUUGGUUCUGGCAUCGAUGAAGAACGCAGCGAAAUGCGAUAAGUAGUGUGAAUUGCAGAAUUCAGUGAAUCAUCGAAUCUUUGAACGCACAUUGCGCCCUUUGGUAUUCCAAAGGGCAUGCCUGUUCGAGCGUCAUUUGUACCCUCAAGCUUUGCUUGGUGUUGGGCGUCUUGUCUCUAGCUUUGCUGGAGACUCGCCUUAAAGUAAUUGGCAGCCGGCCUACUGGUUUCGGAGCGCAGCACAAGUCGCACUCUCUAUCAGCAAAGGUCUAGCAUCCUUAAGCCUUUUUUUCANCUUUUGACCUCGGAUCAGGUA
RNAcentral lists this ribosomal RNA (493 nucleotides) under Alternaria sp. JF-Alt16. Its description in RNAcentral is "eukaryotic LSU rRNA". The stretch from base 160 to 313 matches the Rfam family "5.8S ribosomal RNA". The record is from RNAcentral. Lineage: Eukaryota; Fungi; Ascomycota; Dothideomycetes; Pleosporales; Pleosporaceae.